This is a long non-coding RNA of Solanum lycopersicum (tomato), 586 nucleotides long. RefSeq lists it as uncharacterized. NCBI's taxonomy places the organism in Eukaryota, Viridiplantae, Streptophyta, Magnoliopsida, Solanales, Solanaceae. The record is from RefSeq and is a predicted model, not a curated record.
UUAAAAGUGAUUCUUAGGGCACAAAAUAUUUACACUCACACUCACUCUUUUCAGAGAUGAAGCUCAAAAACUCCAAUCCUCCAUCUCUAAAACCCAUCUCGAAGCUGGUAACACUCGAAGCUUGCAAGCAAGUUUCCAUCUCGUAGCUCUGAAGCAAGUCCCCAUCAAGAAAGAGAUGAAGCUCAGAAACUCCAAUCCUCCAUCUCUAAAACUCCAUCUCGAAGCUGGUAACACUCGAAGCUUGCAAGCGAGUUUCCAUCUCGAAGAUUUGAAGCAAGUCUCCAUCAAGAAAGGAAUUGGUUAAGCGUCAAAGCUGGAAGCUCAAAAUGCAACAUAAUUUACUGAUGUCCUUCAUCGUUAAGUGUCUACAGACGGUAUUUACAGCAGCUUCAGUUUACUACCUACUGUAAAUGAAAAUUUUAUACUCAAUCUAUAGGUGUACAUAUAGGAUUUUUGUCAAGAGUCGUGGUGACAUGCUGAGAAUUAUUUUGUGUUGCUUAUGUUGGAAUGUUUAUGAACUCAAUCUAUAUGAACAACAAAUAUUUAUUAUGUGUUGCUUCUUUUAGAAUUAACUGAUCUUUCUUUA